GGGGGGGGGGGGGGGGGGGGGGGGGGGGGGCGGGGCGGAGGGGGGGGGCCGGGGUUGGGGGGGGGCGCGAGUGGCGAACGGGUGAGUAACACGUGAGUGGCCUGCCCUUGACGCUGGGAUAACUUCAGGAAACUGGGGCUAAUACCGGGUAGGCGCUCCUGCUGCAUUGUUGGGUUUGGAAAGUUUCGGCGGUUGGGGAUGGACUCGCGGCUUAUCAGCUUGUUGGUGGGGUAGUUGCUUACCAAGGCUUUGACGGGUAGCCGGCCUGAGAGGGUGACCGGCCACAUUGGGACUGAGAUACGGCCCAGACUCCUACGGGAGGCAGCAGUGGGGAAUAUUGCACAAUGGGCGGAAGCCUGAUGCAGCAACGCCGCGUGCGGGAUGACGGCCUUCGGGUUGUAAACCGCUUUCGCCUGUGACGAAGCGUGAGUGACGGUAAUGGGUAAAGAAGCACCGGCUAACUACGUG
This 468-nucleotide ribosomal RNA is filed under the name uncultured bacterium. RNAcentral's name for it is "partial 16S ribosomal RNA". The stretch from base 54 to 468 matches the Rfam family "Bacterial small subunit ribosomal RNA", at positions 35 to 507 of the family's 1533-position model. The record is from RNAcentral.